GUAGUCUGCAACCCGACUACAUGAAGCUGGAAUCGCUAGUAAUCGCAGAUCAGAAUGCUGCGGUGAAUACGUUCCCGGGUCUUGUACACACCGCCCGUCACACCAUGGGAGUUGGAAAUGCCCGAAGCCAGUGACCCAACCGUAAGGAGGGAGCUGUCGAAGGUGGAGCCGAUGACUGGGGUGAAGUCGUAACAAGGUAUC
RNAcentral lists this ribosomal RNA (201 nucleotides) under uncultured bacterium. RNAcentral describes it as "partial 16S ribosomal RNA". It matches the Rfam family "Bacterial small subunit ribosomal RNA", at positions 1300 to 1500 of the family's 1533-position model. The record is from RNAcentral.